CUUAGAAGUUGUCAUCCUUUUCUCUUUUCUCUUGUGGACCCUGAGGAUUGGACCCAGGACUCGCGUGCCAAGUGCUCUCUCAACUGCUGUGCUUCUGCAGGCCGAUGUCUGUCUUCCCCUGCUGCUGGAGGCUGCGGUGAUGGCUUCGCUCCGUGGUAGUCCUGGGGAUGUGGCCACCGUGUCAAGAUGUGGGUUGCUUCAAAUGGUUUGAACAAAGCGUGCAGGAUGAGAGUCUUCCCUCACACCUCUUUGGCUAGCCCCACAAGAAGCAACUGUUUAUUUGCAGAAGCAACUUUUGCCAUGGAAGGGCUGCUAGAGGGAGCAGGUAAAGUACAAUGCAUCCAAAGUUGGGUUUUGGGUAAACUUGUCCAAAGUUCAAGUAUUGCUCAGGACAUACUUCUACUAAAAAUGUGUUUGUUGUUUUUCUGCAAUUCAAAUGUAACUGGGUGUCCUGUGUUUUAUCUGGCAGUCCCAGGUCUAGGCCCAGUGAACUACCCUUCAUAGCUUGCUGGAGACUGCUGCCCCUACUGCCAUUCAAAGUAAGGAUGAAGACUUGACUACCACACCAUGUCCACGGCUGGCAACUAGACAACUGCAUGGCUGGGCCAAGGUUUGACCAAUAAAACAGCUAAGUGAACACUAAGGCUAAGCUUACAGUUUUAAGAGUGCAACUCCACAAUCCUUUAUCUUUAAUUUCAAAAGGAAAAGUCCUUCAAAAAUAGAAAUUUUUCUGUAACUCACUUGGUAGCCAACACCUGACCUAUAUGAUGCUGUUUAUUGUCUUUACUUAUCUCAUUUUGUGUAUAUCGUCACACUCUUUGCUACAGAAAUAUUUAUUUGUUUGAUCAUGGUGUGGUGCUCCAUAUCCCCACAUCAAGGGUUUAGAGAGCUGCAUUGCUUUUUUUAAAAAUAAAAAAUUCUGAAUUCUGAAUCUGAUUUUAAGAGUUUCAGAUAAAGAAUUAUGACCAAACAGAAACAAUAUUCAGAAGGACUUUGGGAAUGUAUUGUCUAAUGCAGUAGCCAUUAGCCAAAUGUGGUCACAUGGAGCCACUGACAAGCACCUAGUAUAAGCUUGGAUGUGCUGUAAGUGUAAAUAUUCAUCGAGUUUCAAAAACUUAACAUGGAAGAAGAAUGUGAAAUAAUCAUUACAUGUUGAAAGAAUACUUUGCAUAUUGGGUCAAAUAAAUUAUUAAAAUUAAUUUCAACUAGCUUUUCUUAUAUUUCUAGUGAACAGGACUGCUUUUUUUUUUUUGUACCGGGGAUUUAACUCAGGUCCUUGUGGUUGUGAGGCAGGCAGCAGAACCACUGAGGUAAAUCCCUGGCCCAGGACUAGUUUUGAGAAUUCAUCCUCCAGUUGAGAAAAAUGGAUGAGAAAGUGACUUGGGUUAUGUGAGUAGUUAGUUGUAGAAUAGAAGCAAAACUGGGAUUUUUUUUUGACUCUUUGCUCUUCAUUUCCCCUUUGGAAGAACUAAGGGCUCUACAUUUGGUGCUGGCUAAGACAAUUUUCAGUAUCUAAUGGAGUAUUUGAAGAUCUUGUUGACUAAAUCAGGGAAAUCAAGCACUAACUUGGAACCAAUGGUUUCAUGUAUGUCAUAGUAUGACUGAGAGAAGCCAAUAAAAGAUCAGUUUAUGAGUUUUGCAUGGUAAGAUAUUUCUCAACAGGUUCAGAGCAAUAGAUUUCAUGUAGAGACUGAGGUAAAUUCUUUCAUCCACACUCUUGGAAAUAGAUCAGGGCUGAAAAAUAAUCACACCUUCUUUGGGAAAAACUGGGAUGUGUCCCACCUUCCUGACUGGCAAAUUAUGCAAAGGGUCAGUGCUUUCAGAAGGACAAACUCUUUUCUUUCUCUCAUUAAUCUUGUCGGUACAUUUUAGGUAUAUAAUAUGAUGACACUCAUCAUUUGGAAUUUGUACCCUUACAUGACAUAUCUUGGUUACCUUUUCCCCCCAUCCCCCUGCCCACCUUUCAACCCCUCCACCCCUCCCUAUUUACAGAGACUUUGUUUCCAAUUUUUCUUUUUCUCAUAUUUAUUCCUUUUCCUUCUUUCCUUUCCCCGACCUCUCCCACUUCUCCUUCCCCUUUGGACCUUUUCUUCCUAUUUCAUAUUAUCUAUUAUACAUUUUGAUCCUUAUUUACACUUUCAGUUUCUCACACCAGAGAAACUAUUCAGUAUUUACAUGUGUGUCCUAUUAAUUUAACUUGAGUAUAGCCUCAAUGUGUGUCCAUUUAGCUAUAUAUAUAUUUUUUUGUUUUGUUUUUUGAUUUUUUGAGAUAGGGUCUCACUAUGUAGCCCAGGCUGGUCUCGAACUCACAGCAAUUCUCCUGCCUCAGCCUCCCGAGUGCUGGGAUUACAGGAGUGUGCCACCAUGCCCGGGCUACAUUUAGCUAUAAAUAACUUUAGUUUCUCAUUCUUUAUGGCUGAGUAGGACUCCAUUUUACAUUAAAAAAAACAUAUUUUCU
This 2458-nucleotide long non-coding RNA is filed under the name Fukomys damarensis (Damara mole-rat). RNAcentral's name for it is "lncRNA (ENSFDAG00000033499.1)". Lineage: Eukaryota; Metazoa; Chordata; Mammalia; Rodentia; Bathyergidae. The record is from RNAcentral.